UUGCAUGGUUGUCGUCAGCUCGUGUCGUGAGAUGUUGGGUUAAGUCCCGCAACGAGCGCAACCCUCGACCUUAGUUGCCAGCAUUCAGUUGGGCACUCUAAGGUGACUGCCGGCUAAAAGUCGGAGGAAGGUGGGGAUGACGUCAAAUCAUCAUGCCCCUUAUGACCUGGGCUACACACGUGCUACAAUGGGCGGUACAAAGGGUCGCGAACCCGCGAGGGGGAGCCAAUCCCAAAAAGCCGCUCUCAGUUCGGAUUGCAGGCUGCAACUCGCCUGCAUGAAGCCGGAAUCGCUAGUAAUCGCGGAUCAGCAUGCCGCGGUGAAUACGUUCCCGGGCCUU
Molecule: ribosomal RNA, 340 nt
Filed under: uncultured Anoxybacillus sp.
Lineage: Bacteria; Bacillati; Bacillota; Bacilli; Caryophanales; Anoxybacillaceae
Description: bacterial SSU rRNA
Rfam family: Bacterial small subunit ribosomal RNA
Source: RNAcentral